This 211-nucleotide long non-coding RNA is filed under the name Homo sapiens (human). Its description in RNAcentral is "non-protein coding lnc-FAM169A-3:2". Lineage: Eukaryota; Metazoa; Chordata; Mammalia; Primates; Hominidae. The record is from RNAcentral.
CUACUUUAAAGCUAUACAAAAUAUUUUAUCUUCUGACAAAGCGUAAUUACAAUAUUAACACUGUAAUAAGUGAUGCUAAAAUAAAAUUAAUGCCAAGUUUCUUUUUCUCUUUACUAGAAUAUAUGCUGCUAUAAAAUAAGAGCAAGUUUAAAAAGAUUAAAGCCACAUGUGCCGCUUGGAAGAAAUUGCAGUUCUCUACCAGGUACAAAUG